AUCUCAGGCACAAAGGCAAUGUCAUUAUAGACAGGGGAGGACAUUAUUCUUAAAUGGCAACCGAUGCAGCGCCUAGACAGGAGAUAAGGUCCCCUUUGUCCCCCAGCUAGCGUUCACCAUUGUGACAGGCCACUUAAGCAACACUUACCUGCAGCAUCAAACCACCCUGAUGCCGAAACCAUUAACAUACAUGCUGUGACGCGUGUGACACCUCAGCGACGCUCGGACAACGUGCUGCUCCCAGGGGAUGAAGAGGAGAGGAGAGAAUUUAGAUCAGGCGGAACGUCCCCAGGAUGGAGAGAUGGAGGGAACUAAAGAAGGAAAGGAGAGAGAGAGAUAGAAGGAAAGGUCAUGUGUGAUGGAUGCUUUGUGUGUCUCUGUCGUUUCCAAUUACUGAACUUUGCCUUGUUUCUCUCAAAUGCAUUUUCGUCAUUUCUCCAGUUCUCAUCUCUACCUCACGACUGGAGAGAACCCAGGGUUCAACCCUGGCUUAGUGUGGCAGAACACACUGCAUUUAUUCAGGCUAAACAGUUGAAUUUGUCAGUUUAUUCAGAUGAAGCAUUAGACAGACAUUAUUUAACUAAUACUAACCUUCCUGACUAAAGCAGCCAUAUACGGCCACAUUUAUAAAAUAUUCCACCUAUUAUCCGACAAGUACAUAACAUAUAAGCUCAUUUCUUUCAUUGUAAUCUGUGAUUUUGUGAUCUACGAUUUAAAGUGGUUUGCGUAUGGUACAUCUGUCAAUAAAUGUGUCCCAAUACCGUUCCAUAUUACAUACAAAAUGCCAUCUGGAGAGUGUACAGCACUUUAUAUGAGGCCAAAUGGGAGAUUCCUAGCCUAUUCCUCAACUAGAGAAUCUACAGUAUGACAUUAUUCAACAUGAGGGAAUAGGUGAUGCACUUCUGAUCUUCUGGGUCGUUGGGAAUUUAACAGCCUCUUUCCCAAACUUUAGACAUUGUCACCCAGACCCUUCAUAAAACAUAUCACACUGACAAUACCCAGACCCCUGCAGCAGAGGAAAGGAGAGAGGGAGGGAGAGGGGAAGUAGAGAGAGAGAGAGAGAGAGAGAAAGAAAAGAAAGUCAGACGGACACAAAAAAAUACACUGCAAAUGUAUUCCUUUCUUUUUUUCCCAUCCAUAGCUAUAUUAAAAUCCUUUAUUCGUUAAUAUAUCUAUUUGCUGCUUGUGAAACCGAUAAAGCGCAGGUGGUUUGCGAAGCCAGGCCGUGUAUGGUUUAUAGGGACAGAGGAGCUGAUAUAUGGCGGAUGGGGACUCCAUUAAAAGCGAGACCUGGGCCAUUUGGGAAAAUGGAGGUCAUUGGUGCUGAGGUCAGGUGCCAUCUAUAAAAAUCUAACUUUUCCUUAAUAUCUGCUCGUAUAUCACCUCCCCCGCUGCACGUGAAUCUUAAACAACAGGGUGGUUUAUAAGGCAGAGUGUGUUGUGUCGUGAGAGGCAGUCAGCUGCAUGGUGC
This is a non-coding RNA of Salmo salar (Atlantic salmon), 1471 nucleotides long. The record is from RefSeq and is a predicted model, not a curated record. NCBI's taxonomy places the organism in Eukaryota, Metazoa, Chordata, Actinopteri, Salmoniformes, Salmonidae.